Molecule: long non-coding RNA, 1510 nt
Organism: Esox lucius (northern pike)
Lineage: Eukaryota; Metazoa; Chordata; Actinopteri; Esociformes; Esocidae
Source: Ensembl
AGGGGCAUCAAUAUCACUUAUAAGUAACUAUACAAUUAUUAUUGCAACAGGCCUUGGUUAACGCCCUGUUCAUGACCCACUAAUUAACAGCUUAACUGUUUAUCAAUUAAACAUUUUAUUAAAACGCAGAGGGACCAAUUACAAGACUCGGCAGGGACCAACCUCGUUAGGAGAACAUUAUCGUUAGAGAAUUAUACAGAUGGGGCACAAGCUCUGAACUGUAAAUAGAUAACGCAACAUAAUUGAGACACAAAUAUGGCAGGUGAUGAUUCAAUGAUGACGGAUGCUUAUGUAAGAGGAGGGAUGACUGUGAUAUUUCAAUGCAUUUAAUGACAGUUCAACCAAAUUACAAGCUGACAACAUGUCUUACAUUGCUGAGAAGUUGCUCACUUGUCUAUGGGUUCCCUCAUUUAAACCGUAGAGCAUUUUGUCUUCUGAAAUUAAACAUGAACGGGAGAGAAGUUACACAUUAAUUUGGACUGAGUAAUCAUAUUUCUCCAUGCCACUGUUAAGUGCUUUGACAUUUAAAGACACUGAGUGCUUUAUUCUCCUAAGAUGAUAUUUAAAUCACCCCCCAUUGUUUGCUAAUAUUUCAAUCCUUGCCACUCCUCAUCAAUGUCCAAGCAUGUUCUAGAUUACAGGGAAGUGGCAUAUCUUACUAGUGAUAAAAGGAUACGAAAUUAUUACAUCACUCAGCAGUUCAAUGCAAGUGAGACGAAUGCAGUCAAAAGGCAAAACAUCCGUACUAAACCAGUGGUGUCCUUCAUCCCAUGUCAAAGCACACACUACCUAAAUCAGGAAAUGGCAACCCGUAACAUUAUCAAAACCGGGAGAUUUUGGCCUGGAGCUCCCUCAGACUAUCCAGGCUGGCCUCAGGGCCGUCCUCCGAGGUAACGAACCCCGGAUAGGUCUCGCUGAACUGGGCCUGAGGGGGGCCAGUGGUGCUGGAGCCCCCGUCGACCUGAUCAGAGGACUGUGGGGAAAGGAGGGGUAUUAACUUCGCGUGCGCGUAGUCAAUCUCGAAACCCUCAAAAAUAAGCCCCACCCCCCAGGCUCCUAGCCCCUCCUCCAGAAUCUGUGCUACCCUCCGGGUCGCCAGUACCAAGCUCUUAUAAUCCCCCUCUUCCAGUCUGAAUAUGUCCGAGGUCAGCGGUCGACGGGGGACGAGUACGGUGAGGCCGGGGGAGUUGGGGAAGGGGGUGAGAAAGGCGACGUGUCCCUCAUCCUCCCACACCCUCCACUGCUGCUCCUCGCCGCGGACGAUCCGGGAGAAGAGGCAGGGGUGGGUCGGGUCUUCCCCCAGGAAGGUGUGGUUCACCGGGGCAUCAGGGAAGGGAAGCUGGGAUCGGAUCUCGGCCUGGAUCUCCUGGAGUGACGUGUCCGUCCAGCGGGGGCCGCUUUUGGAGGUCACAAAGCCAGGGUCAUGGUGGGUGUAGUGUUCUUCUCCCGCCAAGUGGGGGCGCCAUUCGUUGUCCAGGCCAUGUAGAGGCAGCACCCGGACCUGUCAAUC